RNAcentral lists this ribosomal RNA (253 nucleotides) under uncultured bacterium. Its description in RNAcentral is "partial 16S ribosomal RNA". It matches the Rfam family "Bacterial small subunit ribosomal RNA", at positions 524 to 776 of the family's 1533-position model. The record is from RNAcentral.
GACGAGGGGUCCUAGCGUUGUUCGGAAUCACUGGGCGUAAAGCGUUUGUAGGCGGCUCUAUAAGUCGGGUGUGAAAUCCCAUGGCUCAACCAUGGAAGUGCAUUCGAAACUGCAGAGCUUGAAUAUGGUAGAGGAGAGUAGAAUUCCUGGUGUAGUGGUGAAAUACGUAGAUAUCAGGAGGAAUACCGGUGGCGAAGGCGGCUCUCUGGACCAAUAUUGACGCUGAGAAACGAAAGUGCGGGGAUCAAACAGG